Molecule: ribosomal RNA, 701 nt
Filed under: Clostridioides difficile
Lineage: Bacteria; Bacillati; Bacillota; Clostridia; Peptostreptococcales; Peptostreptococcaceae
Description: partial 23S ribosomal RNA
Rfam family: Bacterial large subunit ribosomal RNA
Source: RNAcentral
GAUAGCGUAUAGUACCGUGAGGGAAAGGUGAAAAGAACCCCGGGAGGGGAGUGAAAUAGAACCUGAAACCCUGCACUUACAAGCUGUGGAAGCACAUUUCUUGUGUGACCGCGUACUUUUUGUAGAACGGGCCAACGAGUUACGUUAAGUAGCAAGGUUAAGCACUUAAGGUGUGGAGCCGUAGCGAAAGCGAGUUUUAACUGAGCGUUCAGUUACUUGACGUAGACCCGAAACCGGGCGACCUACCCAUGAGCAGGAUGAAGCGAAAGUAAAAUUUCGUGGAGGUCCGAACCCACGAGCGUUGAAAAGCUCGGGGAUGACUUGUGGGUAGCGGUGAAAUUCCAAUCGAGCCCGGAGAUAGCUGGUUCUCCCCGAAAUAGCUUUAGGGCUAGCCUCAAGGUGAGAGAUACGGAGGUAGAGCACUGAAUGUCCUAGGGGGUAUUGCACCUACCGAAGACUAUCAAACUCCGAAUGCCGUCAUCUUAUACUUGGGAGUCAGACUGUGGGUGAUAAGAUUCAUAGUCGAAAGGGCAACAGCCCAGAUCGUCAGCUAAGGUCCCUAAAUGUAAGUUAAGUGGUAAAGGAUGUGGGAUUGCACAGACAACCAGGAUGUUGGCUUAGAAGCAGCCACUCAUUCAAAGAGUGCGUAAUAGCUCACUGGUCGAGUGAUCCUGCGCCGAAGAUUUCCGGGGCUAAAACUU